RNAcentral lists this transfer RNA (72 nucleotides) under Araneus ventricosus. RNAcentral describes it as "tRNA-Pro". The record is from RNAcentral. Lineage: Eukaryota; Metazoa; Arthropoda; Arachnida; Araneae; Araneidae.
GGGUUCGGCCGGGAUUUGAACACGGGACCUCUCGCACCCGAAGCGAGAAUCAUACCCCUAGACCACCGAACC